This 449-nucleotide ribosomal RNA is filed under the name uncultured bacterium. RNAcentral's name for it is "partial 16S ribosomal RNA". It matches the Rfam family "Bacterial small subunit ribosomal RNA", at positions 29 to 523 of the family's 1533-position model. The record is from RNAcentral.
AACGAACGCUGGCGGCAUGCCUAACACAUGCAAGUCGAACGAAGGCUUCGGCCUUAGUGGCGCACGGGUGAGUAACGCGUGGGAAACUGCCUAUUGGUGGGGAAUAACGACGGGAAACUGUCGCUAAUACCGCAUAAGCCCUUCGGGGGAAAGAUGUAUCGCCGAUAGAUGUGCCCUCCUCCGAUUAGCUAGUUGGUGAGGUAAUGGCUCACCAAGGCGACGAUCGGUAGCUGGUCUGAGAGGAUGAUCAGCCACACUGGGACUGAGACACGGCCCAGACUCCUACGGGAGGCAGCAGUGGGGAAUAUUGGACAAUGGGCGAAAGCCUGAUCCAGCAAUGCCGCGUGAGUGAUGAAGGCCUUAGGGUUGUAAAGCUCUUUCGGGUGGGACGAUGAUGACGGUACCACCAGAAGAAGCCCCGGCUAACUUCGUGCCAGCCGCCGCGGUAA